AAAGCAAGUCUCAGCUUCUUUGAUUGGGUCAAGAUAUUCACGAUCCAAUCAAUUUUAUGAAAAUCAUAACUUGCGAAAUAGAAAUCGGCAGUAUCACUCGCCUGGAUCUGAUUAUAAUCAUGAUUAUCCAGGCCCUUAAUCUACUGGCACAAUCUUUUGAAAUUAGAUUUUGUUGUUGUUGUUUUGGGCAAACGCACUCUGUCCCAAGACCAUU
This 214-nucleotide small RNA is filed under the name Arabidopsis thaliana (thale cress). Its description in RNAcentral is "ATSL293440". Lineage: Eukaryota; Viridiplantae; Streptophyta; Magnoliopsida; Brassicales; Brassicaceae. The record is from RNAcentral.